AUCACUAAGCGGAGGAAAAGAAACUAACUAGGAUUCCCCCAGUAACUGCGAGUGAAGAGGGAAGAGCUCAUCAUUGGAAUCUGGCAGCGUUGCGCUGUCCGAGUUGUAGAUGAGAAGAGUAGGCCAUCUGGGCUGCAUGGUGUCCAAGUACAAUAGGCCGUCAGUGGGACAUCAUAGAGGGUGACAAUCCCGUCCUUGACACCAAUGUACGAGUCCUUUACGAUGCCUAUCUCGGAGAGUCGAGCAGUUUGGGAUUUGCUGCUUAAACAUGGGAGGUAGAUUCCUUCCAAAGCUAAAUACAGGCAAGAGACCGAUAGAGAACAAGUACCGCAAGGGAAAGAUGAAAUAGAACUCUGUGAAGGGAGUCAAAAGACGUGAAAUUGUUGCGAGAGAAGCGAUUCAAGUCAGCGUAGCUGGGCCCAUCAAGCCUCGCGCUUUGGACCAGCUUUGCCAGCGGUCUUGUCCCUAGAGACUUGACUAAGGUGCCCUGCCCGGUCUAACGGGCAGACCUCCCCUGGAGGCCAGUGGCAUGGCUGGUGGAAUGGCUUGCAAUCGACCCGUCUUGAAACACGGACCAAGGAGUCUAACAUGCAUGCGAGUAUAAGGGUGGCAAACCCGUAUGCGCAAAGAAAGUGAUAGCCUUUUAUGGCCGAGAAUGACCUGAUGACCAGACAAGCAAUAUUAUGUCCCUCGUACGGUCAUUGCCCAAGUCCCAUGGUCAGAUCCCAUGGACAUGGAGUUGGAGCGUGCAUGCUAGGACCCGAAAGAUGGUGAACUAUGCCUGGACAAAGCGAAGCCAAAGGAAACUCUGGUGGAGGCUUGUAGCGAUUCUGACGUGCAAAUCGAUCGUCUGAUCUGGGUAUAGGGGCGAAAGACUAAUCGAACCAUCUCAUAGCUGGUUC
Molecule: ribosomal RNA, 902 nt
Filed under: Cantharellus albus
Lineage: Eukaryota; Fungi; Basidiomycota; Agaricomycetes; Cantharellales; Hydnaceae
Description: partial large subunit ribosomal RNA
Rfam family: Eukaryotic large subunit ribosomal RNA
Source: RNAcentral